GAUUGAACGCUGGCGGCAGGCCUAACACAUGCAAGUCGAGCGGAUGAAGGGAGCUUGCUCCUGGAUUCAGCGGCGGACGGGCGAGUAAUGCCUAGGAAUCUGCCUGGUAGUGGGGGAUAACGUCCGGAAACGGGCGCUAAUACCGCAUACGUCCUGAGGGAGAAAGUGGGGGAUCUUCGGACCUCACGCUAUCAGAUGAGCCUAGGUCGGAUUAGCUAGUUGGUGGGGUAAAGGCCUACCAAGGCGACGAUCCGUAACUGGUCUGAGAGGAUGAUCAGUCACACUGGAACUGAGACACGGUCCAGACUCCUACGGGAGGCAGCAGUGGGGAAUAUUGGACAAUGGGCGAAAGCCUGAUCCAGCCAUGCCGCGUGUGUGAAGAAGGUCUUCGGAUUGUAAAGCACCUUAAGUUGGGAGGAAGGGCAGUAAGUUAAUACCUUGCUGUUUUGACGUUACCAACAGAAUAAGCACCGGCUAACUUCGUG
This 485-nucleotide ribosomal RNA is filed under the name uncultured bacterium. RNAcentral describes it as "partial 16S ribosomal RNA". It matches the Rfam family "Bacterial small subunit ribosomal RNA", at positions 27 to 507 of the family's 1533-position model. The record is from RNAcentral.